GGAAUAUUGCACAAUGGGCGCAAGCCUGAUGCAGCCAUGCCGCGUGUAUGAAGAAGGCCUUCGGGUUGUAAAGUACUUUCAGCGGGGAGGAAGGUGUUGCGGUUAAUAACCGCAGCAAUUGACGUUACCCGCAGAAGAAGCACCGGCUAACUCCGUGCCAGCAGCCGCGGUAAUACGGAGGGUGCAAGCGUUAAUCGGAAUUACUGGGCGUAAAGCGCACGCAGGCGGUCUGUCAAGUCGGAUGUGAAAUCCCCGGGCUCAACCUGGGAACUGCAUUCGAAACUGGCAGGCUGGAGUCUUGUAGAGGGGGGUAGAAUUCCAGGUGUAGCGGUGAAAUGCGUAGAGAUCUGGAGGAAUACCGGUGGCGAAGGCGGCCCCCUGGACAAAGACUGACGCUCAGGUGCGAAAGCGUGGGGAGCAAACAGGA
This 427-nucleotide unclassified non-coding RNA is filed under the name plant metagenome. RNAcentral's name for it is "partial contains 5.8S ribosomal RNA, internal transcribed spacer 2, and large subunit ribosomal RNA". It matches the Rfam family "Bacterial small subunit ribosomal RNA", at positions 358 to 777 of the family's 1533-position model. The record is from RNAcentral.